RNAcentral lists this ribosomal RNA (269 nucleotides) under uncultured Anaerolineaceae bacterium. RNAcentral's name for it is "partial 16S ribosomal RNA". It matches the Rfam family "Bacterial small subunit ribosomal RNA", at positions 1100 to 1382 of the family's 1533-position model. Lineage: Bacteria; Bacillati; Chloroflexota; Anaerolineae; Anaerolineales; Anaerolineaceae. The record is from RNAcentral.
AACCCUCGUCGUAUGUUAUAUGUGUCAGUACGAGACUGCCGGUAAAAAGCCGGAGGAAGGUGAGGAUGAUGUCAAGUCAGCAUGACCUUUAUAUCCAGGGCUACACACACGCUACAAUGGUCUGUACAAUGGGUAGCCAAGCCGCGAGGCGGAGCCAAUCCUGAAAGCAGGCCUCAGUUCAGAUUGCAGUCUGCAACUCGACUGCAUGAAGCCGGAGUUGCUAGUAACCGCAGGUCAGCAAUACUGCGGUGAAUACGUUCCCGGGUCUU